This 253-nucleotide ribosomal RNA is filed under the name uncultured bacterium. RNAcentral describes it as "partial 16S ribosomal RNA". It matches the Rfam family "Bacterial small subunit ribosomal RNA", at positions 524 to 776 of the family's 1533-position model. The record is from RNAcentral.
UACGGAGGGUGCAAGCGUUGUCCGGAUUUAUUGGGUUUAAAGGGUGCGUAGGCGGCCCGUUAAGUCAGUGGUGAAAGCCUCCAGCUCAACUGGAGAACUGCCAUUGAUACUGGCGGGCUUGAGUACAGACGAGGUUGGCGGAAUUGAUUGUGUAGCGGUGAAAUGCAUAGAUACAGUCAAGAACACCGAUUGCGUAGGCAGCUAACUAGGCUGUAACUGACGCUGAGGCACGAAAGCGUGGGGAGCGAACAGG